AUGAACGCUGGCGGCGUGCCUCAUACCUGCAAGUCGAGCGCACAGACGAGGAGCUUGCUCCUCUGACGUUAGCGGCGGACGGGUGAGUAACACGUGGAUAACCUACCUAUAAGACUGGGAUAACUUCGGGAAACCGGAGCUAAUACCGGAUAAUAUAUUGAACCGCAUGGUUCAAUAGUGAAAGACGGUUUUGCUGUCACUUAUAGAUGGAUCCGCGCCGCAUUAGCUAGUUGGUAAGGUAACGGCUUACCAAGGCGACGAUGCGUAGCCGACCUGAGAGGGUGAUCGGCCACACUGGAACUGAGACACGGUCCAGACUCCUACGGGAGGCAGCAGUAGGGAAUCUUCCGCAAUGGGCGAAAGCCUGACGGAGCAACGCCGCGUGAGUGAUGAAGGUCUUCGGAUCGUAAAACUCUGUUAUUAGGGAAGAACAAAUGUGUAAGUAACUAUGCACGUCUUGACGGUACCUAAUCAGAAAGCCACGGCUAACUACGUG
Molecule: ribosomal RNA, 496 nt
Filed under: uncultured bacterium
Lineage: Bacteria
Description: partial 16S ribosomal RNA
Rfam family: Bacterial small subunit ribosomal RNA
Source: RNAcentral